ACUCCUACGGGAGGCAGCAGUGGGGAAUAUUGCACAAUGGGCGCAAGCCUGAUGCAGCCAUGCCGCGUGUAUGAAGAAGGCCUUCGGUUGUAAAGUAACUUUCUAGCAGUGAGGAAGGUGGAUAUGUUAAUAAGCAUAUUCAUUUGACGUUAGCUGCAGAAGAAGCACCGGCUAACUCCGUGCCAGCAGCCGCGGUAAUACGGAGGGUGCGAGCGUUAAUCGGAAUUACUGGCGUAAAGCGCAUGCAGGUGGUUUGUUAAGUCAGAUGUGAAAGCCCGGGGCUCAACCUCGGAAUUGCAUUUGAAACUGGCAAACUAGAGUACUGUAGAGGGGGUAGAAUUUCAGGUGUAGCGGUGAAAUGCGUAGAGAUCUGAAGGAAUACCGGUGGCGAAGGCGGCCCCCUGGACAGAUACUGACACUCAGAUGCG
Molecule: ribosomal RNA, 428 nt
Filed under: uncultured bacterium
Lineage: Bacteria
Description: bacterial SSU rRNA
Rfam family: Bacterial small subunit ribosomal RNA
Source: RNAcentral